This 808-nucleotide ribosomal RNA is filed under the name uncultured bacterium. RNAcentral's name for it is "bacterial SSU rRNA". It matches the Rfam family "Bacterial small subunit ribosomal RNA", at positions 60 to 875 of the family's 1533-position model. The record is from RNAcentral.
AGUCGAGCGAGGUCCAUCCAGUGGUAACACUGGUGAAGACCUAGCGGCGAACGGGUGAGUAACACGUGAGAAACCUGCCCCGAAGACUGGGAUAACUCUCCGAAAGGAGAGCUAAUACCAGAUGCCCUCACCGGGCCGCAUGACUUGGUGAGGAAAUGGAUUCCGCUUCGGGAGGGUCUCGCGGCCUAUCAGCUUGUUGGUGAGGUAACGGCUCACCAAGGCUUCGACGGGUAGCUGGUCUGAGAGGAUGAUCAGCCACACUGGGACUGAGACACGGCCCAGACUCCUACGGGAGGCAGCAGUGGGGAAUCUUGCGCAAUGGGCGAAAGCCUGACGCAGCAACGCCGCGUGGGGGAUGAAGGCUCUCGGGUUGUAAACCCCUUUCAGCAGGGAAGAUUAUGACGGUACCUGCAGAAGAAGCCCCGGCCAACUACGUGCCAGCAGCCGCGGUAAUACGUAGGGGGCAAGCGUUGUCCGGAUUUAUUGGGCGUAAAGAGCUUGUAGGCGGCUUGGUAAGUCGAGUGUGAAAACUCCAGGCUCAACCUGGAGACGCCAUUCGAUACUGCCAUGGCUAGAGUCCGGUAGAGGAGCACGGAAUUCCUGGUGUAGCGGUGAAAUGCGCAGAUAUCAGGAGGAACACCAGCAGCGAAGGCGGUGCUCUGGGCCGGUACUGACGCUGAGAAGCGAAAGCGUGGGGAGCGAACAGGAUUAGAUACCCUGGUAGUCCACGCCGUAAACGUUGGGCACUAGGUGUGGGUCCCUAUCGACGGGAUCUGUGCCGUAGCUAACGCAUUAAGUGCCCCGCCUG